This 255-nucleotide ribosomal RNA is filed under the name uncultured bacterium. RNAcentral describes it as "partial 16S ribosomal RNA". It matches the Rfam family "Bacterial small subunit ribosomal RNA", at positions 524 to 776 of the family's 1533-position model. The record is from RNAcentral.
UACGUAGGGUGCAAGCGUUUAAUCGGAAUUACUGGGCGUAAAGCGUGCGCAGGCGGUUUUGUAAGUUUGUCGUGAAAGCCCCGGGCUCAACCUGGGAAUUGCGAUGAAGACUGCAAGGCUUGAAUCUGGCAGAGGGGGGUAGAAUUCCGACGUGUAGCAGUGAAAUGCGUAGAGAUGUGGAGGAACACCGAUGGCGAAGGCAGCCCCCUGGGUCAAGAUUGACGCUCAUGCACGAAAGCGUGGGGAGCAAACAGG